Molecule: ribosomal RNA, 512 nt
Filed under: uncultured bacterium
Lineage: Bacteria
Description: partial 16S ribosomal RNA
Rfam family: Bacterial small subunit ribosomal RNA
Source: RNAcentral
GACGAACGCUGGCGGCGUGCCUAAUACAUGCAAGUCGAGCGGAACUGGGGGAGCUUGCUCCUUCCAGUUUAGCCGCGGACGGGUGAGUAACACGUGGGCAACCUGCCCUGCAGAUCGGGAUAACUCCGGGAAACCGGUGCUAAUACCGAAUAGUUUGGCGCCUCUCCUGAGGCGCUACGGAAAGACGGUUUCGGCUGUCACUGCAGGAUGGGCCCGCGGCGCAUUAGCUAGUUGGUGGGGUAACGGCCCACCAAGGCGACGAUGCGUAGCCGACCUGAGAGGGUGACCGGCCACACUGGGACUGAGACACGGCCCAGACUCCUACGGGAGGCAGCAGUAGGGAAUCUUCCGCAAUGGACGCAAGUCUGACGGAGCAACGCCGCGUGAGUGACGAAGGUUUUCGGAUCGUAAAACUCUGUUGUGAGGGAAGAACACGUACCAACUAACAAUUGGUACCUUGACGGUACCUCACCAGAAAGCCACGGCUAACUACGUGCCAGCAGCCGCCGUAA